This 267-nucleotide small RNA is filed under the name Mus caroli (Ryukyu mouse). RNAcentral's name for it is "sRNA (MGP_CAROLIEiJ_G0008570.1)". The stretch from base 1 to 204 matches the Rfam family "7SK RNA". Rfam says of the family: 7SK was discovered as an abundant small nuclear RNA in the mid-70s but a possible function has only recently been suggested. Two independent studies have found that 7SK RNA binds the CDK9/cyclin T complex (known as elongation factor P-TEFb). The record is from RNAcentral. Lineage: Eukaryota; Metazoa; Chordata; Mammalia; Rodentia; Muridae.
GGAUGUGACAGCUCUCUGGCUGUGACAUCUGUCACACCAUUGUGCACACCAGGGUUGAUUCACCUGAUCUGGCUGGUUAGGUGGGGGUCCCCUUCCUCCUUCAUUUCUUAAUCUAUGCUCCCCCCCCCCCAAGCUGUUCACUCUGUCCAAGAGAACCACAGUCCUGGAUAAAGAAGGAUUGUUCUUGGGCCCAGGGUAUGGAUGCGAUGGAACCUCAAAAAAAAAAAAAAAAAAGAGCUCUCCAAUGACAAAAUGUGUAUCAUAUUU